RNAcentral lists this ribosomal RNA (421 nucleotides) under uncultured bacterium. RNAcentral describes it as "bacterial SSU rRNA". It matches the Rfam family "Bacterial small subunit ribosomal RNA", at positions 355 to 774 of the family's 1533-position model. The record is from RNAcentral.
UAAGGAAUAUUGGUCAAUGGACGCAAGUCUGAACCAGCCAUGCCGCGUGAAGGAUGAAGGUCCUCUGGAUUGUAAACUUCUUUUAUCUGGGACGAAAACGGGAUUUUUAUCUCAAUUGACGGUACCAGAGGAAUAAGCACCGGCUAACUCCGUGCCAGCAGCCGCGGUAAUACGGAGGGUGCGAGCGUUAUCCGGAUUUACUGGGUUUAAAGGGUGCGUAGGUGGGCUUAUAAGUCAGUGGUGAAAUCUCCGAGCUUAACUUGGAAACUGCCGUUGAUACUAUAGGUCUUGAAUUAUCUGGAGGUAAGCGCAAUAUGUCAUGUGGCGGUGAAAUGCUUAGAUAUGACAUAGAACACCAAUUGCGAAGGCAGCUUACUACAUAUAAAUUGACGCUGAGGCACGAAAGCGUGGGGAUCAAACA